CCAGAUGAUGGAGAUUUGGAUAAACAGGAAAUCGCAUACAUAAAAGACUUGGUCUUGAAGCUAGAGGAAGAAUUGCAUACUGUAACAUCUUCAUCAUCCAAAUAAUUACACAUCCCGGCAGAUCAAAUUGGUGGUGCAAUACAAAGACAGUUCGCAGACGCCUUGAAAGUUCAUGUUCAACAGCAAGCGAAUGACGGUUGAAAGAGGAAGCAACUGGAUGUUUGGUCAACCAGCAAAGCAGCUGGUGGCGACAAAGCGAUAUACCAGUGGAACUUCAAAAUCUACAUGUCAUUAAGAAACAUCAGAUGUUUGUUGGAAUCCUCAAAAGUUCUAAACUCUUCGUACAAAAACAGGAACAAGGUGAACUACUUGACAAAAAUGGGGAUUG
Long non-coding RNA from Dendronephthya gigantea, 388 nucleotides. RefSeq lists it as uncharacterized. The record is from RefSeq and is a predicted model, not a curated record. The transcript is spliced from 6 exons. Lineage: Eukaryota; Metazoa; Cnidaria; Anthozoa; Malacalcyonacea; Nephtheidae.